This 377-nucleotide ribosomal RNA is filed under the name uncultured eukaryote. Its description in RNAcentral is "partial 18S ribosomal RNA". It matches the Rfam family "Eukaryotic small subunit ribosomal RNA", at positions 592 to 976 of the family's 1831-position model. The record is from RNAcentral.
CAAUAGCGUAUAUUAAAGUUGUUGCAGUUAAAAAGCUCGUAGUUGGAUUUCGGGGCAGCCUGGCUGGUCCGCCGCAAGGCGAGUACUGGUCAGCCGCCCUUCCUCUCGAAAGCCCCGACUGCUCUUCGUUGCAGUGGUCGGGUAGUUCGGGACGUUUACUUUGAAAAAAUUAGAGUGUUCAAGGCAGGCCUACGCCUGAAUACAUUAGCAUGGAAUAAUGGAAGAGGACCUCGGUCCUAUUUUGUUGGUUUCCAGGGCCGAAGUAAUGAUUAAGAGGGACAGUUGGGGGCAUACGUAUUUAAUUGUCAGAGGUGAAAUUCUCGGAUUUAUGAAAGACGAACAACUGCGAAAGCAUUUGCCAAGGAUGUUUUCAUUAA